GUUUAUUGGAAACUUAAAGAAUUUGGCGGCAUUUUAUCUUUUUAGAGGAACCUGUUUCAUUAAUGAUGUUACACGAUUGGCAUUACUUAUUGUAUUUGUUUGUAUAUUUCCGUUAUCAGAAUAUUUAUGGAUGAUAUUUUCAUGGUUUUAUUAAAAUUUAUUCAGGUCAAGGUGCAGCUUAUUGAUAAGUGUUAAAUGGGUUACAAUAAUUUAAUUUAAACGGAUAUUUUUUUUAAAUUUUUAAUUGAAGGUGGAUUUAUUAGUAAGUUUUAAUAAUUAUUAAUUCUGAAUUAGUGCUAAAUUGUGU
Molecule: ribosomal RNA, 307 nt
Filed under: Tetrix tuerki
Lineage: Eukaryota; Metazoa; Arthropoda; Insecta; Orthoptera; Tetrigidae
Description: partial 12S ribosomal RNA
Source: RNAcentral